This 736-nucleotide ribosomal RNA is filed under the name Falcileptoneta musculina. RNAcentral's name for it is "SSU rRNA". It matches the Rfam family "Eukaryotic small subunit ribosomal RNA", at positions 79 to 819 of the family's 1831-position model. The record is from RNAcentral. Lineage: Eukaryota; Metazoa; Arthropoda; Arachnida; Araneae; Leptonetidae.
AGGUGAAACCGCGAAUGGCUCAUUAAAUCAGUUAUGGUUCCUUAGAUCGUUCCUAACUACUUGGAUAACUGUGGUAAUUCUAGAGCUAAUACAUGCAGCAGAGCUCCGACCUUCGGGGACGAGCGCUUUUAUUAGACAAGACCAGUCGGGCCGUGUCCGUUACUUGGUGACUCUGGAUAACCUUUGGCUGAUCGCACGGACUCGUUCCGGCGACGCAUCUUUCAAGUGUCUGCCUUAUCAACUGUCGACGGUUGGUCAAAUGCCAACCGUGGUUGUAACGGGUGACGGGGAAUCAGGGUUCGAUUCCGGAGAGGGAGCCUGAGAAACGGCUACCAGUUCUAAGGAAGGCAGCAGGCGCGCAAAUUACGCCAUGGGAGCCUCCCGACGUAGUGACGAAAAAUAACAAUACGGGACUCUUUUGAGACCCCGUAAUUGGAAUGAGUACAAUCUAAAUCCUUUAACGAGGAUCCAUUGGAGAGCAAGCCUAGUGCCAGCUGUCGCGGUAAUACUAGUUCCAAUAGCGUAUAUUAAAGUUGUUGCGGUUAAAAAGCUCGUAGUUGGAUCUCAGUUCCAGUCGGGCGCUCCGCCUUGCGGCGGUAAGCGCACGUUCUGAACAACCAGUCGGUCAACCUAGAUGAUCUUCACCGGUUGUCAUGGGUGACCGUCGCUUUUACUUUGAAAAAAUUAGAGUGCUCAAAGCAGGCGUGACGCCUGAACAAAUGUGCAUGGAAUAAUG